GCAUGAUGUACAAGUCUAUCGAGCACUUUCUCAAUGACAGUUUUCUUCUCUAGGAGCUCUGCCUCUGACUCUAUCUCACUCUCCAUCUCGCCCAGGUACCAGCUGAUCA
Molecule: long non-coding RNA, 109 nt
Organism: Dreissena polymorpha
Lineage: Eukaryota; Metazoa; Mollusca; Bivalvia; Myida; Dreissenidae
Exons: 2
Source: RefSeq, a predicted model, not a curated record